Long non-coding RNA from Sipha flava (yellow sugarcane aphid), 782 nucleotides. RefSeq lists it as uncharacterized. The transcript has 3 exons. Lineage: Eukaryota; Metazoa; Arthropoda; Insecta; Hemiptera; Aphididae. The record is from RefSeq and is a predicted model, not a curated record.
UGCGGUCGUUCUCGCCGACAACCUUUUCGUCCGUUCUCUCCGCAUCCCACGUGCCGUUCGCGCCCGGACAAAUAGCGUCGCGACGCUUUCGCGGUGUCACCGCCCGUGUCCAUUCUCCGGAAGUCACGGUGGUUUUGGUGCGCACAUGCCGUUGCCGGUGACCCGGCCGCCCGCCGACGACUACGGGCCGUUGCGCGAAUUCGUGCACCGGCUGGUGGACGAUCUGUUGUGGGACCUGGAGCCGUUGCUGCGUUGGUACGUCGGGAGCAACGCGGAUGUCCUGGUCGGGAUCGCGUGGCAAGUAGGGAUACGCGUGCCCAGCGUCAUCCACUGGACUCGCACGGUCGCGUGUUUCUGUAGGUACAACAGCUUCACGCGCCAGCUGGUGUACAGUUUGCCGAGCGAGCUGCUUUACCCGCUGCACAACGAUUGGUCGAGCCGCGCGUGAACGAGGUGUACGCCGUCGAUCCCGUUGCCGGUGCCGUGAUGCGCAGCAAACAUCGGCUUGACUUUGACCGACAGACCGACCGAUUCUUUAUUGCAACCGUUCAUAACUUUUCGAUAAAACGUGGUGCUAGUAAUUCGUUCAUGGUUUUAAAACAUUUUUUUACGCGGUUGUACGUUCAUUAUUUAAAUGUACAAUUGUUUGAACGUUAAAAUCGUGGUUUGUUGCGUACGCAAUUUGUGUUGUUUUAUUUAACGUAAAUUAUUACCGAGAUAUUUACAUAAGUUAUAUUGAGUACUAACGUUGUACUGUAAACAUAUUUCCAUACAACUACUAC